CAAUAGCGUAUAUUUAAGUUGUUGCAGUUAAAAAGCUCGUAGUUGGAUUUUGGGUCGGGGGCACCGGUCCGCCGUUCCGGUGUGCACUGGUGGCCCCUUCCUUUCUGCCGGGGACGUGCGUCGCACUUAAUUGGGUGGCGUUCGGAGUCGGCGUUGUUACUUUGAAAAAAUUAGAGUGUUCAAAGCAAGCCAUCGCUCUGAAUACAUUAGCAUGGAAUAACAUGAUAGGACUCCGGUCUUAUUUUGUUGGUUUCCGAGACCGGAGUAAUGAUUAAGAGGGACAGUCGGGGGCAUCCGUAUUUCAUUGUCAGAGGUGAAAUUCUUGGAUUUAUGAAAGACGAACUUCUGCGAAAGCAUUUGCCAAGGAUGUUUNCAUUAA
Molecule: ribosomal RNA, 379 nt
Filed under: uncultured eukaryote
Lineage: Eukaryota
Description: partial 18S ribosomal RNA
Rfam family: Eukaryotic small subunit ribosomal RNA
Source: RNAcentral